RNAcentral lists this ribosomal RNA (472 nucleotides) under uncultured bacterium. Its description in RNAcentral is "partial 16S ribosomal RNA". It matches the Rfam family "Bacterial small subunit ribosomal RNA", at positions 28 to 507 of the family's 1533-position model. The record is from RNAcentral.
GACGAGCGCUGGCGGCGUGCUUAACACAUGCAAGUCGAACGCUGAAGCUUGGUGCUUGCACUGGGUGGAUGAGUGGCGAACGGGUGAGUAAUACGUGAGUAACCUGCCUUUGACUCUGGGAUAAGCCUGGGAAACUGGGUCUAAUACUGGAUAUGACAUGCCACUGCAUGGUGGUGUGUGGAAAGGGUUUUACUGGUUUUGGAUGGGCUCACGGCCUAUCAGCUUGUUGGUGGGGUAAUGGCCUACCAAGGCGACGACGGGUAGCCGGCCUGAGAGGGUGGCCGGCCACCCGGGGACUGAGACACGGCCCAGACUCCUACGGGAGGCAGCAGUGGGGAAUAUUGCACAGUGGGCGGAAGCCUGAUGCAGCGACGCCGCGUGAGGGAUGACGGCCUUCGGGUUGUAAACCUCUUUCAGCACGGAAGAAGCGAGAGUGACGGUACGUGCAGAAGAAGCGCCGGCUAACUACGUG